AACCGUUUGAAAGCAAGCUUAGGAGAAAACCAAGUCGGUGAUAUGCCGGUGGAGCAAGCCUUAGAUGGAGGAUCGACUGAAGAAUACUUUUAAUAAUGAAACCUAUGUUUAUAUUUCUGUUUUAAGGUGUGGAGUGUAAUUAGUUUGAAAUUCAGUGAGGAUUUGUAGAAUAAUGAGGAAAACUCUUAUUCUUCCUUCUAUCAACUGUUCUAUUGUAUCAAUGAUGUAAGAA
RNAcentral lists this small RNA (232 nucleotides) under Vigna angularis var. angularis. RNAcentral describes it as "Non-protein coding transcript". The record is from RNAcentral. Lineage: Eukaryota; Viridiplantae; Streptophyta; Magnoliopsida; Fabales; Fabaceae.